Molecule: ribosomal RNA, 464 nt
Filed under: Lelliottia amnigena
Lineage: Bacteria; Pseudomonadati; Pseudomonadota; Gammaproteobacteria; Enterobacterales; Enterobacteriaceae
Description: bacterial SSU rRNA
Rfam family: Bacterial small subunit ribosomal RNA
Source: RNAcentral
CGGCCGCAAGGUUAAAACUCAAAUGAAUUGACGGGGGCCCGCACAAGCGGUGGAGCAUGUGGUUUAAUUCGAUGCAACGCGAAGAACCUUACCUACUCUUGACAUCCAGAGAACUUAGCAGAGAUGCUUUGGUGCCUUCGGGAACUCUGAGACAGGUGCUGCAUGGCUGUCGUCAGCUCGUGUUGUGAAAUGUUGGGUUAAGUCCCGCAACGAGCGCAACCCUUAUCCUUUGUUGCCAGCGGUUCGGCCGGGAACUCAAAGGAGACUGCCAGUGAUAAACUGGAGGAAGGUGGGGAUGACGUCAAGUCAUCAUGGCCCUUACGAGUAGGGCUACACACGUGCUACAAUGGCAUAUACAAAGAGAAGCGACCUCGCGAGAGCAAGCGGACCUCACAAAGUAUGUCGUAGUCCGGAUCGGAGUCUGCAACUCGACUCCGUGAAGUCGGAAUCGCUAGUAAUCGUAG